UAGGGAAUCUUCGGCAAUGGACGAACGUCUGACCGAGCAACGCCGCGUGAGUGAAGAAGGUUUUCGGAUCGUAAAACUCUGUUGUUAGAGAAGAACAAGGACGUUAGUAACUGAACGUCCCCUGACGGUAUCUAACCAGAAAGCCACGGCUAACUCCGUGCCAGCAGCCGCGGUAAUACGGAGGGUGCAAGCGUUAAUCGGAAUUACUGGGCGUAAAGCGAACGCAGACGGUUGAUUGAGUCAGAUGUGAAAUCCCCGGGCUUAACCCGGGAGUUGAAUCUGAUACUGGUCAGCUAGAGACUUGUAGAGGGGGGUAGAAUUCCAUGUGUAGCGGUGAAAUGCGUAGAGAUGUGGAGGAAUACCGGUGGCGAGGGCGGCCCCCUGGACAAAGACUGACGCUCAGGUGCGAAAGCGUGGGGAGCAAACAGG
Molecule: ribosomal RNA, 429 nt
Filed under: Chloroflexota bacterium
Lineage: Bacteria; Bacillati; Chloroflexota
Description: Chloroflexi bacterium partial 16S ribosomal RNA
Rfam family: Bacterial small subunit ribosomal RNA
Source: RNAcentral